RNAcentral lists this transfer RNA (76 nucleotides) under Microcaldota archaeon. RNAcentral describes it as "tRNA-Ile". It matches the Rfam family "tRNA". Rfam says of the family: Transfer RNA (tRNA) molecules are approximately 80 nucleotides in length. Their secondary structure includes four short double-helical elements and three loops (D, anti-codon, and T loops). Lineage: Archaea; Nanobdellati; Microcaldota. The record is from RNAcentral.
GGGCUCGUAGCUCAGCUUGGACUAGAGCGUUCGACUGAUAAUCGAAAGGCCCUGGGUUCAAAUCCCAGCGGGCCCA